CACAUUUGUGGUCGGGCGUGUGUCAGGCCCAUCUACCAGGCGUCAAGGUGGCUUCCGCAGACGGGUACCUAACACUAGUAUACCACCUCUCUUGGACUUGCCCAAGCCUACAUUUUCAGGGCAGUGUAGGAACCAGCUACAUUUGUAGCUCAGA
This is a long non-coding RNA of Bufo bufo (common toad), 154 nucleotides long. RefSeq lists it as uncharacterized. The transcript has 3 exons. The record is from RefSeq and is a predicted model, not a curated record. NCBI's taxonomy places the organism in Eukaryota, Metazoa, Chordata, Amphibia, Anura, Bufonidae.